RNAcentral lists this non-coding RNA (26 nucleotides) under Homo sapiens (human). The record is from RNAcentral. Lineage: Eukaryota; Metazoa; Chordata; Mammalia; Primates; Hominidae.
AGCAAAGUCUUUGCCUUCAGUGGAUC